This 234-nucleotide ribosomal RNA is filed under the name uncultured bacterium. Its description in RNAcentral is "partial 16S ribosomal RNA". It matches the Rfam family "Bacterial small subunit ribosomal RNA", at positions 337 to 588 of the family's 1533-position model. The record is from RNAcentral.
ACCUACGGGGGGCAGCAGUGGGGAAUAUUGCACAAUGGGGGAAACCCUGAUGCAGCGACGCCGCGUGAGUGAAGAGGUAAUUCGUUAUGUAAAGCUCUAUCAGCAGGGAAGAAAAUGACGGUACCUGAGUAAGAAGCCCCGGCUAACUACGUGCCAGCAGCCGCGGUAAUACGUAGGGGGCAAGCGUUAUCCGGAUUUACUGGGUGUAAAGGGCGUGUAGGCGGGGACGCAAGU